This 279-nucleotide unclassified non-coding RNA is filed under the name Entoloma zuccherellii. Its description in RNAcentral is "partial contains 5.8S ribosomal RNA, internal transcribed spacer 2, and large subunit ribosomal RNA". The record is from RNAcentral. Lineage: Eukaryota; Fungi; Basidiomycota; Agaricomycetes; Agaricales; Entolomataceae.
CGCACCUUGCGCUCCUUGGUAUUCCGAGGAGCAUGCCUGUUUGAGUGUCAUGAAUAUCUCAACCUUUUCAGUUUUUAUUAACUGGUAUGGCUUGGAUUGUGGGAGUUGCUGGCUUUACCAAAGUUUGCUCUCCUUAAAUGUAUUAGCAAAAUUGUUGCUGACCAUCUUUGGUGUGAUAAUUAUCUACGCCAUGGGCAAUCGGCAUAUGCUUCUAACAGUCCUGAAGGACAAUUCUUGACAUUUGACCUCAAAUCAGGUAGGAUUACCCGCUGAACUUAA